Coregonus clupeaformis (lake whitefish) is the source of this 604-nucleotide long non-coding RNA. RefSeq lists it as uncharacterized. NCBI's taxonomy places the organism in Eukaryota, Metazoa, Chordata, Actinopteri, Salmoniformes, Salmonidae. The record is from RefSeq and is a predicted model, not a curated record. The transcript has 3 exons.
AGGAAGUAGGUCUACAUAGUGCCUCUUCUUCGCCCAUAUUGGAUACAGGUGUUGUUUACAGUAUCAAUAAUAAAGCUAGAAAAUGACAUGUAGUAGCCUAGGCUGGAAUUAAUUAAGUCAACCUCGCCAGUGAGCUUAUCUUCGAGGUCAGCACUCAUACAAUGAUUAGCUAACUUCGGAUGUUUACAGAGGGGUGAAAGAGCACUUGUAAAUUUGUCCGAUGAACUCUCAAACUGGUGAAAGAGACUGGGUAUAUUCAACUGAAAUUGGAAAUACUUGCAUUAUCUGUAAUGGACCCAUUUGACGCCACCUCUCCGCGCAAGGUUCUGGAGCGAGUCUCUACUCUGCUGGGAUGCAGCCCGACAUCGAAUGAAGUAGCCACAUAUCUAGACAAUCACGACGAACUAAAGCACCUACGUGAACAGUUUCUAUUACCCAAAGUUGCAGAACUCCCUCCUUCUGACCUUACGCUUGUGGAUGGCACCAAGCAAUGCAUUUACUUUGUGGGGAACUCACUUGGCCUCCAGCCCAAAAUGGCCAAGAAGUACAUCGACGAGGAGUUGGAUAAAUGGGCUAAAACGUAAGUUGUUCCCCCAACGUUUCC